RNAcentral lists this long non-coding RNA (1032 nucleotides) under Oryzias javanicus (javanese ricefish). RNAcentral describes it as "lncRNA (ENSOJAG00000015646.1)". Lineage: Eukaryota; Metazoa; Chordata; Actinopteri; Beloniformes; Adrianichthyidae. The record is from RNAcentral.
AUGAGUCCGGUUGUCGUCCUGAAGUCUGUAGUUUUACCAGCAGGUGGUUUUCGGUGUGAUCUUUGCCAUCAGGCCUCAAAGGAUGUAACAGAAUUUAUAAACCACUACCAACUGCACCAUGUACAGCCGCCUUCCAUCACAGAUGAGGCACCUGAGACAGCUGAAGCCACAGGAAACGGCGAGGAACCUUUGACGGCAAGUGAGACACCUGCAACAGGUGAAGCAACGAUAGUUGGGGAGGCACCUGCGGUAGAGGCCCGGUGUGUUCCCGUAGAUCAGCCAUCGUUUCCGUGUAACAUGUGCGAUCGCUCGUUCACCACGAGUCAGAACCUGAAGCGUCACAAACUGCUGCACGUCAAAGAUGGUAGAAAGUGCGCCAAAUGUGGCGCUCUUUUCUGCCGACGCCACAGACACAUUCUCUUCCAGCCCCGGGUCGAGCCUAUGAAGGAGCCUGAGAAGGAUUCCAUUUCUGAAGAGAAGAAGGAGGAGGUGGAAGAGGUGGUGGUGAAAAAGGAGGAACCUUUAGAGCCCAGCGCAAUCACUGUAAACAACCAACCAAUCAAGGUGGAGCCGAUAGAAGCUGCAGAAAAAAUCAACAAGCCUCAGAUCUUACCGUUAGCUCAGCUUCAGCGCCAUAUUCCUGUCAUUUGUGUUUUGCCUUUACCCCGAAUUCAGCAAAUUGCGCCAAAGCCCCUCCCCCUGUCCCUGCCCGGCCACAUCCAAACACCUGUGACAUCAGCAAACCUCCCCGCCAUCCCACCUCCUCCAACAAGCUCGAGUAACUCCAUGGUGCCAACACUUAACCCCAAUAGUCUCCCUGGCGUGCAUCCACGACUGCCCCCCUCCCUGGAGCUCUUCUCGCCUCAGCGCCUCACCUCCUCGCUGCUUGAAGUCAAAAGAAAUUAUGACUAUAUUCUGAGCAAACCAAAAAAGCAACAGGAAUUUGUGGUGCAGAAACGCGUGGAGCCUGUCCUUUUUCUCUCCGAGUCAGAAGCAGGUCUGUCAAGUCAAAAGAGAAAAAGUGGCUUAUGA